RNAcentral lists this ribosomal RNA (443 nucleotides) under uncultured bacterium. Its description in RNAcentral is "partial 16S ribosomal RNA". It matches the Rfam family "Bacterial small subunit ribosomal RNA", at positions 338 to 795 of the family's 1533-position model. The record is from RNAcentral.
CCUACGGGUGGCAGCAGUGGGGAAUAUUGGGCAAUGGGCGCAAGCCUGACCCAGCAACGCCGCGUGAAGGAAGAAGGCUUUCGGGUUGUAAACUUCUUUUAUUGAGGACGAAACAAAUGACGGUACUCAAUGAAUAAGCCACGGCUAACUACGUGCCAGCAGCCGCGGUAAUACGUAGGUGGCAAGCGUUAUCCGGAUUUACUGGGUGUAAAGGGCGUGUAGGCGGGACUGCAAGUCAGAUGUGAAAACUAUGGGCUCAAACGAUAGAGUGCAUUUGAAACUGCAGUUCUUGAGUGAUGGAGAGGCAGGCGGAAUUCCCGGUGUAGCGGUGGAAUGCGUAGAUAUCGGGAGGAACACCAGUGGCGAAGGCGGCCUGCUGGACAUUAACUGACGCUGAGGCGCGAAAGCGUGGGGAGCAAACAGGAUUAGAUACCCGGGUAGUC